Molecule: ribosomal RNA, 1138 nt
Filed under: uncultured bacterium
Lineage: Bacteria
Description: bacterial SSU rRNA
Rfam family: Bacterial small subunit ribosomal RNA
Source: RNAcentral
AUGGGAAUAACUGUCCGAAAGGGCUGCUAAUACCCAAUAAUUGCAAAAGCACAAAGCUAGGAAUUCUUUCCUUGUGCUUAAAGAGGGGUUAAUGUCCUAUCAGCUAGUUGGUGGGGUAAUGGCCUACCAAGGCAAAGACGGGUAGCCGGCUUGAGAGGGUGGUCGGCCACACUGGGACUGAGACACUGCCCAGACUCCUACGGGAGGCUGCAGUCGAGAAUCUUUCGCAAUGCCCGAAAGGGUGACGAAGCGACGCCGCGUGUGGGAAGAAGGCCUUCGGGUUGUAAACCACUGUCGGGAGUUAGGAAUGCAGGUGCGUUAAUAGCGCACUUGCUUGACUAAGGCUCCAGAGGAAGCCACGGCUAACUCUGUGCCAGCAGCCGCGGUAAUACAGAGGCGGCAAGCGUUGUUCGGAAUUAUUGGGCGUAAAGAGCACGUAGGCGGCCUUGCAAGUCAGUUGUGAAAGCCUUCCGCUUAACGGAAGAACGGCAUCUGAUACUACAGGGCUUGAGUACGGGAGGGGAGAGUGGAACUUCUGGUGGAGCGGUGAAAUGCGUAGAUAUCAGAAGGAACGCCGGCGGCGAAAGCGACUCUCUGGUCCGAAACUGACGCUGAUGUGCGAAAGCUAGGGGAGCAAACGGGAUUAGAUACCCCGGUAGUCCUAGCCGUAAACGAUGGGCACUAAGUAGAGGGGUUUUGAUAUUUCUCUGCCGGAGCUAACGCAUUAAGUGCCCCGCCUGGGGAGUACGGCCGCAAGGCUAAAACUCAAAAGAAUUGACGGGGGCUCGCACAAGCGGUGGAGCAUGUGGCUUAAUUCGAUGCAACGCGAAGAACCUUACCGGGGCUUGACAUGUAGAAGUAGAUCCUGAAAGGGUACGAUCUAUCCAGUGAAGCUAUCACAGGUGUUGCAUGGCUGUCGUCAGCUCGUGUCGUGAGACGUUGGGUUAAGUCCCCUAACGAGCGAAACCCUUGUCUUUAGUUGCUAACGGGUAAUCUGAGCACUUUAGAGAGACUGCCGUCGUUAAGACGGAGGAAGGUGGGGACGACGUCAAGUCAUCAUGGCCCUUAUGUCCCGGGCUGCACACGUGCUACAAUGGUCGGUACAAAGGGAUGCUAAGUCGCGAGAUGGUGCGAAACC